CAAAAAUGUCAAACCCAAUAAACCAAGUUUUUUUUAUUUCUUUCAACUCAAAUGCAUUCUUUUAUGUAUGUAUUAUAAGUUUGUUUUAUUUACAUUUACAUAUUUCUUUUCAAUUAUUUUUGAUUAUUAGAUUUUUGCUUGUGAAGAUAUGAUAAUAAAUGACUUGAAAUUUUGCACCCCCCCUCCACCCCCCUCCUUGUGAAAUUUUACCUUUUAAGUAUGUUUUUUUAAUUAAUAAUUACAGUUUUGUUGAUCCGGGAUAACAAAGAGACAACUUAUUACAUUUUUAAAAAUUAAUUUUGGAUAUUUUGAGUGAUAUCUUGAUUUUCUUUUAAAAAAAUGGUAAAAUGUAGGUUUUGAGAGCCCCCCCUAUAAAAAUUUUCCCCCG
This 388-nucleotide long non-coding RNA is filed under the name Mytilus galloprovincialis (Mediterranean mussel). Lineage: Eukaryota; Metazoa; Mollusca; Bivalvia; Mytilida; Mytilidae. The record is from RNAcentral.